CAGUCGCCGCGGGAAUACGAAGGGGGCUAGCGUUGUUCGGAAUUACUGGGCGUAAAGCGCACGUAGGCGGAUAUUUAAGUCAGGGGUGAAAUCCCAGAGCUCAACUCUGGAACUGCCUUUGAUACUGGGUAUCUUGAGUAUGGAAGAGGUGAGUGGAAUUCCGAGUGUAGAGGUGAAAUUCGUAGAUAUUCGGAGGAACACCAGUGGCGAAGGCGGCUCACUGGUCCAUUACUGACGCUGAGGUGCGAAAGCGUGGGGAGCAAACAGGAUUAGAUACCCCCGUAGUCCCUGUCUCUUAUAC
Molecule: ribosomal RNA, 301 nt
Filed under: uncultured bacterium
Lineage: Bacteria
Description: partial 16S ribosomal RNA
Rfam family: Bacterial small subunit ribosomal RNA
Source: RNAcentral